RNAcentral lists this small RNA (397 nucleotides) under Pan troglodytes (chimpanzee). RNAcentral's name for it is "processed transcript". Lineage: Eukaryota; Metazoa; Chordata; Mammalia; Primates; Hominidae. The record is from RNAcentral.
CUGGUGGCUGUUUUGCUAUGCAGUGGAUGCUUAUCUGGUGAUCCGGAGAUCGGCAGGACUGAGCACCAUCCUGCUGUAUCACAUCAUGGCGUGGGGCCUGGCCACCCUGCUCUGUGUGGAGGGAGCCGCCAUGCUCUACUACCCUUCCGUGUCCAGAGGGAGAUGUGGCCGCUGGAACUGUCUCAGGCAUUUCCUCAAGUUUACAUUCCUGUCCAUGCAACCCUCAGUUGCAAAGCCAAGGUCUUUCCAAGGAUAUAUACUCUAACUUCCAAUGGAAAACUGGAAAACAGAAGUGGACAGUGUCUUUGUCUGUGAUUUUUAUACCAGGGAUCAACACAGUGUAGCCCUCAGGACAAAUCCGGCGUUCUUCCGUUUUUGUAAAUAAAGUUUUAUUGGA